UGAGAAUCUGCCCUCAGGUCUGGGAUAACGACUGGAAACGGUCGCUAAUACCGGAUGUGCCGAGAGGUGAAAGGCUAGCUGCCUGGGGAUGAGCUCGCGUCCGAUUAGCUAGUUGGUGGGGUAAGAGCCCACCAAGGCGGUGAUCGGUAGCUGGUUUGAGAGGAUGAUCAGCCACACUGGGACUGAGACACGGCCCAGACUCCUACGGGAGGCAGCAGUGGGGAAUUUUCCGCAAUGGGCGCAAGCCUGACGGAGCAAUACCGCGUGCGGGAGGAAGGCUUUUGGGUCGUAAACCGCUUUUAUUGGGGAAGAAGAUCUGACGGUACCCAAUGAAUCAGCAUCGGCUAACUCCGUGCCAGCAGCCGCGGUAAUACGGAGGAUGCAAGCGUUAUCCGGAAUUAUUGGGCGUAAAGCGUCCGCAGGUGGCUGUUCAAGUCUGCUGUUAAAGCGUGCAGCUUAACUGCAUAUCGGCAGUGGAAACUGAAGAGCUAGAGUUCGGUAGGGGUAGCGGGAAUUCCCAGUGUAGCGGUGAAAUGCGUAGAUAUUGGGAAGAACACCAGCGGCGAAAGCGCGCUACUGGGCCGAGACUGACACUGAGGGACGAAAGCUAGGGGAGCGAAA
This 621-nucleotide ribosomal RNA is filed under the name Leptolyngbyaceae cyanobacterium BACA0112. Its description in RNAcentral is "bacterial SSU rRNA". It matches the Rfam family "Bacterial small subunit ribosomal RNA", at positions 118 to 773 of the family's 1533-position model. The record is from RNAcentral. Lineage: Bacteria; Bacillati; Cyanobacteriota; Cyanophyceae; Leptolyngbyales; Leptolyngbyaceae.